UAACGCGUGAGUAACCUGCCUUCAAGAGGGGGAGUAACAUUCUGAAAAGAAUGCUAAUACCGCAUGACAUAUCGGAACCACAUGGUUUUGUAUAUCAAAGAUUUUAUCGCUUGAAGAUGGACUCGCGUCCGAUUAGUUAGUUGGUGAGGUAACGGCUCACCAAGACCGCGAUCGGUAGCCGGACUGAGAGGUUGAACGGCCACAUUGGGACUGAGACACGGCCCAGACUCCUACGGGAGGCAGCAUG
This 247-nucleotide ribosomal RNA is filed under the name uncultured bacterium. Its description in RNAcentral is "partial 16S ribosomal RNA". It matches the Rfam family "Bacterial small subunit ribosomal RNA", at positions 111 to 353 of the family's 1533-position model. The record is from RNAcentral.